Molecule: non-coding RNA, 939 nt
Organism: Microcebus murinus (gray mouse lemur)
Lineage: Eukaryota; Metazoa; Chordata; Mammalia; Primates; Cheirogaleidae
Source: RefSeq, a predicted model, not a curated record
CUACAAGGAGAGGUCUAGCUUCUAAGAAUGUGCUGUCCAGAGACGAUUUGAGAAGUUUCUAUGUGAUCCAGGAUAAGCUCUAUCAGCACUGCAGUUUCACCAGGAUAUGACCAGCCAGAAAACCAAACAACUUUGCUGUCGAAGAUGAUGGACUUGAUUUCGAGCAGAAAGUGAAAAAGUACACUCUACGGCGUAGUCAGUAAAAGCAGCAAACUAGGUUGAAAACAAGGAUGGAAAUCUGAAGCUCUGCUAGACUGAGGUUGUGGACUUGACCGGGGAAAGUGGUAGACAAGCCAGAUAUUUAAAGGGGAGAGCCUGGAGGUGAAAGUACCUUGGAAGGGACAGAACUCCUUGAGACAGUUAUCUGUUGGAUUUUAUCAGUGCUUUUGAAUAAUAUAUACUGGUUAUACUGGACUACAUCAAUCAAGGGUCAUUCUCACCAUGUAACACUUAAGCUUACUUCAGCUAAAAUCAGAAACGUCGCAGCACUACUUGCUCAUUCUGGAUUAAUAUAGAGAAUUUAAUCAAAAAGGCAGAUGAAAUAGUAAAUGAAGUUGUUGUCACCAGGAUACAGGCUGACCUGCCCUUUGCUGAGACAGAAGAAUACUGGACAUUGAACAUCAUCCUGCUCUAUAAAAAAAGCUCCACCAGGCCCUAUACGGAUAUUGCCAAGAGGACAUCCUCCUGAUCACCCUGUGGGCGUUAGAGAGCUAGCCAAUACAGAUUUAAAACAGAGCCAAAUGGCAUUGUGCUUAUAAGGCUAUAUACCUUGAACUAGAAUAACAAUGAGACCCACACAAACCAGGAUAGAUGCUGGGUCACUUUUGGCUGAGAGAACAAAGCAUUAAAGAGUAAAAAAGAGAGAGAGAGAGAGAGAGAGAAAUGCCUUCUUGGAGUCUGUUCUUCAAUGUGGAAAAUAAAAUUUGGCCAGUGCUAAAA